CCAAAAACUCCAUGAGUUUCAGCAAUAAUUAUACAGUGUCAAUUUCACAAUUACCACAUUGAACAGAAGAGAAUUACCAUCAAUUUCAAGGCUGAAGUGCUAAAUGGUGGCAUUAAGAUGGUUUUUGACAGAGGGCGAACAUGGUUGUCAGCAGGCAGCAGUUUGUGGCCCGAGAAGAGAAUGAUUAUGGCUGCUCUUUGCCAUACUGACACCAGGGUUGUUUUAAAUGGGUGUGGGGGAUGGAUACCACACACUUCCAUUGCCACCAACUGAUCGGCUUAACUUUUAGCAUAAAAAGGAUAUUGUAAGCUUCCAUUUGUACAUUACAAUGACCAAAAAACCAAGUUUUACUCAAUACAAGAGAUUUGGUAGUAAAUUGAAAGGAAAAUUGCAGCGAAGGUCCCAAACCUUUCAUUUUA
This is a long non-coding RNA of Olea europaea var. sylvestris, 419 nucleotides long. RefSeq lists it as uncharacterized. The transcript has 2 exons. Lineage: Eukaryota; Viridiplantae; Streptophyta; Magnoliopsida; Lamiales; Oleaceae. The record is from RefSeq and is a predicted model, not a curated record.